UACGUAGGGUGCAAGCGUUGUCCGGAAUUAUUGGGCGUAAAGAGCUCGUAGGCGGUUUGUCGCGUCUGCUGUGAAAACCCGAGGCUCAACCUCGGGCCUGCAGUGGGUACGGGCAGACUAGAGUGCGGAAGAGGCGAGUGGAAUUCCUGGUGUAGCGGUGGAAUGCGCAGAUAUCAGGAAGAACACCCGUGGCGAAGGCGGCUCUCUGGGACGGUACUGACGCUGAGACGCGAAAGCGUGGGGAGCGAACAGG
RNAcentral lists this ribosomal RNA (253 nucleotides) under uncultured bacterium. RNAcentral's name for it is "partial 16S ribosomal RNA". It matches the Rfam family "Bacterial small subunit ribosomal RNA", at positions 524 to 776 of the family's 1533-position model. The record is from RNAcentral.